This 499-nucleotide ribosomal RNA is filed under the name uncultured bacterium. RNAcentral describes it as "partial 16S ribosomal RNA". It matches the Rfam family "Bacterial small subunit ribosomal RNA", at positions 28 to 507 of the family's 1533-position model. The record is from RNAcentral.
GACGAACGCUGGCGGCGUGCCUAAUACAUGCAAGUCGAGCGGACUUUCAAGAAGCUUGCUUUUUGAAAGUUAGCGGCGGACGGGUGAGUAACACGUGGGCAACCUGCCUGCAAGACGGGGAUAACUCCGGGAAACCGGGGCUAAUACCGGAUAAUAUCUUCCUUCGCAUGAAGGAAGGUUGAAAGGCGGCGCAAGCUGCCGCUUGCAGAUGGGCCCGCGGCGCAUUGGCUAGUUGGUGAGGUAACGGCUCACCAAGGCGACGAUGCGUAGCCGACCUGAGAUGGUGGUCGGCCACACUGGGACUGAGACACGGCCCAGACUCCUACGGGAGGCAGCAGUAGGGAAUCUUCCGCAAUGGACGAAAGUCUGACGGAGCAACGCCGCGUGAGCGAAGAAGGUCUUCGGAUCGUAAAGCUCUGUUGUCAGGGAAGAACAAGUACCGUUCGAACAGGGCGGUACCUUGACGGUACCUGACCAGAAAGCCACGGCUAACUACGUG